This 161-nucleotide ribosomal RNA is filed under the name Alpinia havilandii. RNAcentral's name for it is "5.8S ribosomal RNA". It matches the Rfam family "5.8S ribosomal RNA". From Rfam's summary of the family: 5.8S ribosomal RNA (5.8S rRNA) is a component of the large subunit of the eukaryotic ribosome. It is transcribed by RNA polymerase I as part of the 45S precursor that also contains 18S and 28S rRNA. Functionally, it is thought that 5.8S rRNA may be involved in ribosome translocation. Lineage: Eukaryota; Viridiplantae; Streptophyta; Magnoliopsida; Zingiberales; Zingiberaceae. The record is from RNAcentral.
CAAAAUGACUCUCGGCAAUGGAUAUCUCGGCUCUUGCAUCGAUGAAGAACGUAGUGAAAUGCGAUACUUGGUGUGAAUUGCAGAAUCUCGUGAACCAUUGAGUCUUUGAACGCAAGUUGUGCCCGAGGCCUUGUGGCUGAGGGCACGCCUGCUUGGGCGUC